CCGCCGGCGACCGGCGCACGGGUGAGUAACACGUAUGCAACCUGGCCGUGACAGAUGGAUAACCGGGAGAAAUCCCGCCUAAUACAGCAUGACGCCGGGAAGGGACAUCCCUUUCCGGCCAAAGGGGGCGACUCCGGUCACGGAUGGGCAUGCGGCGCAUUAGGUAGUUGGUGGGGCAACGGCCCACCAAGCCGACGAUGCGUAGGGGUUCUGGGAGGAAGGUCCCCCACAUUGGAACUGAGACACGGUCCAAACUCCUACGGAAGGCAGCAG
RNAcentral lists this ribosomal RNA (273 nucleotides) under uncultured bacterium. RNAcentral describes it as "partial 16S ribosomal RNA". It matches the Rfam family "Bacterial small subunit ribosomal RNA", at positions 85 to 354 of the family's 1533-position model. The record is from RNAcentral.